RNAcentral lists this ribosomal RNA (345 nucleotides) under uncultured bacterium. RNAcentral's name for it is "bacterial SSU rRNA". It matches the Rfam family "Bacterial small subunit ribosomal RNA", at positions 167 to 507 of the family's 1533-position model. The record is from RNAcentral.
UACCGCAUACGAUCUAUGGAUGAAAGCGGGGGAUCGCAAGACCUCGCGCGAUUGGAGCGGCCGAUAUCAGAUUAGGUAGUUGGUGAGGUAAAGGCUCACCAAGCCGACGAUCUGUAGCUGGUCUGAGAGGACGACCAGCCACACUGGGACUGAGACACGGCCCAGACUCCUACGGGAGGCAGCAGUGGGGAAUUUUGGACAAUGGGCGCAAGCCUGAUCCAGCAAUGCCGCGUGCAGGAUGAAGGCCUUCGGGUUGUAAACUGCUUUUGUACGGAACGAAACGGUGAGCUCUAAUACAGUUUGCUAAUGACGGUACCGCAAGAAUAAGCACCGGCUAACUACGUG